CGGGGUAUGGCGCAGUCUGGUAGCGCGCACCCUUGGGGUGGGUGAGGUCACACGUUCAAAUCGUGUUACUCCGACCA
RNAcentral lists this transfer RNA (77 nucleotides) under Insulibacter thermoxylanivorax. RNAcentral's name for it is "tRNA-Pro". The record is from RNAcentral. Lineage: Bacteria; Bacillati; Bacillota; Bacilli; Caryophanales; Paenibacillaceae.